Molecule: non-coding RNA, 231 nt
Organism: Pelobates cultripes (western spadefoot toad)
Lineage: Eukaryota; Metazoa; Chordata; Amphibia; Anura; Pelobatidae
Source: the annotation of a GenBank genome assembly
UCAUCAUCAAGUUCUGCAUCUUGUUUCCUCCAGAGGUCAUGGUCUUCCUUGCUUGCCUGUCUCUGUCAGUAUAUUGUAGUCAACGGCGUCAUCUGUAAGAACAACUUGUAGGAAGGUAUUACCUGUAGAGGGAUGAACUUGGAUUGCUGCUUGCUUAGCAGCUUCGUCUGCUUUGUGGUUUCCUCUUGAGAUUUCAUCUGUGAUCUUCACGUGAGCUGCCACCUUGAUGAU